Aegilops tauschii subsp. strangulata is the source of this 385-nucleotide non-coding RNA. NCBI's taxonomy places the organism in Eukaryota, Viridiplantae, Streptophyta, Magnoliopsida, Poales, Poaceae. The record is from RefSeq and is a predicted model, not a curated record.
GAGCACACCGUCCAAGCAGCACUUCCAAGUAUGACAAUGUCCGCUCUACACCAAGGUACGUGGGCACUCGUGCAAAUAUCUAACAUCUUCACCGACUAGGACUAAGUUUAGCUCUCCAUAUGGUGCCCAUUUUUUUACGGGUAAGGCAAGAGCUCUGCCAAUUCAUUAAAGUUGAGGGGAAACUGUAAAGAAGGCAUAAAAAGAAGAAGGAAAAGCACCACAAAAUAAGUGGAGGUAUGGUUGUUUUUGCCAGAAAAAACCCGUAGUUUUUGCUAGAGAAAAGAAAUUGAUGUGCAUGCACUGAUUAUAUUUGCUUCAUGGCGCAAUAUGUUUAUGCUACUGUUAAAAUUGUGUUUUUAUUGUUUAUUUUGUGUUAUAAAACACA